Molecule: long non-coding RNA, 905 nt
Organism: Rana temporaria (common frog)
Lineage: Eukaryota; Metazoa; Chordata; Amphibia; Anura; Ranidae
Exons: 3
Source: RefSeq, a predicted model, not a curated record
GUGUGCGUUUCACAACACACAGAAGUGAACGGGCCCUAAUACACCAUUGAAUAAACCUAUAUGUCCAGUUUGAUUGUUGAAUUUGACCAAAUAAAAGUGACAAACCUUUUUUUUGUUGUUGUUGUUGUUUCUUCCGUAAACCAUCAAAAAACAACCUUAGGCAAGUUGCGUUGUGCAAUGCUAAAGCGACACUAAAUCUGGGCAGUAAGGGGUUAAAGUUGAAGAGGUGUGGCUGUGUCAGCUGACCUUUAACUUCCUAAUCAACCAUGCAGCUUUCUUUUUUUUUUUUUAAUCCUUACUUUAUUUUAUUUCCCCUUCUCUGAAGCUGUCCAGGAACAGCGACACAUCCAAACCCCGAUUGCAAAAGAAAAAUAGUUAUUUUAAACUUUUUGAGAGUUUGUAAGCUUUGUCAGUUUGGUACUGUCACAAAUAAAGUUGGGUGAAAAAAAAUGUCUGCUUUACAUAUAAAUACUCCCACUUGUGAAACAGUCUCUCUCUUUUGGCCUACAGAUGUGAGCACGUGGCUUCCUGCCGCCAUGUUGGUUUGGAGCUCCAGGAGAGUAAUCAUCAUGACUUAAGGAAUAUUCUCCGGAUGACGGCACUCCUACGUUCAACUCUUGUCCUUGCUGUUCCCCUAUAUCAGGAGGCAGGACACCUGCGUGAGGGCUGUUAUUGCUCCAGAGCAAAGACUUUUAGCCACCUUGAGAAGUCUCGGAUAUAUUCGAUUUCCUCCAAACCCCCAGCAGUGGCAGAAUGUGGCAGCCCAGCUUGAGAAUGUGGCAUUUCCCCAACUGUGGUGGUGCGAUUCAUGGGAAGAAGGUCUGGAUUGUCCCACCACCCAACUUGGGCUCGUAUUUUUAGAACUACAAAAGCUUUUGCAGCAUAGUUUUUUUUUUUAUUUUUUU